UUACCCCUACGGGACGCAGCAGUGAGGAAUAUUGGUCAAUGGACGCAAGUCUGAACCAGCCAUGCCGCGUGCAGGAAGACGGCUCUAUGAGUUGUAACCUGCUUUUGUACGAGGGUAAACGCAGAUACGUGUAUCUGUCUGAAAGUAUCGUACGAAUAAGGAUCGGCUAACUCCGUGCCAGCAGCCGCGGUAAUACGGAGGAUUCAAGCGUUAUCCGGAUUUAUUGGGUUUAAAGGGUGCGUAGGCGGUCGGAUAAGUUAGAGGUGAAAUCCCGAGGCUCAACUUCGGAAUUGCUUGUGCUACUG
Molecule: ribosomal RNA, 305 nt
Filed under: uncultured bacterium
Lineage: Bacteria
Description: bacterial SSU rRNA
Rfam family: Bacterial small subunit ribosomal RNA
Source: RNAcentral